This 478-nucleotide ribosomal RNA is filed under the name uncultured bacterium. Its description in RNAcentral is "SSU rRNA". It matches the Rfam family "Bacterial small subunit ribosomal RNA", at positions 26 to 518 of the family's 1533-position model. The record is from RNAcentral.
AGGACGAACGCUGGCGGCGUGCCUAACACAUGCAAGUGGAGCGACGAACCAGGCUUCGGCCUGGGGCAAAGCCGCGAACGGGUGAGUAACACGUGGGUAACCUGCCCCGAUGAUUGGGACAACCCGAGGAAACUCGGGCUAAUACCGAAUAUGACCUCCGGCCUCAAGGCCGCUGGGGAAAGGAAGCUUCGGCCUCCGCAUCGGGAUGGGCCCGCGGCCCAUUAGCUUGUUGGUGAGGUAACGGCUCACCAAGGCAACGAUGGGUAGCUGGUCUGAGAGGACGAUCAGCCACACUGGGACUGAGACACGGCCCAGACUCCUACGGGAGGCAGCAGUGGGGAAUCUUGCGCAAUGCGCGAAAGUGUGACGGAGCGACGCCGCGUGUGGGACGAAGCCCUUCGGGUGUAACCACUGUCAGGGAUAGAAAGUUCUGAUCAUCCCCAGAGGAAGGCACGGCUAACUCUGUGCCAGCAGCCGC